Molecule: ribosomal RNA, 253 nt
Filed under: uncultured bacterium
Lineage: Bacteria
Description: partial 16S ribosomal RNA
Rfam family: Bacterial small subunit ribosomal RNA
Source: RNAcentral
UACGGAGGGUGCAAGCGUUGUCCGGAUUCAUUGGGUUUAAAGGGUGCGCAGGCGGGACAUUAAGUCAGGGGUGAAAGACGGUUGCUCAACAAUCGCAGUGCCUUUGAUACUGGUGUUCUUGGGUAACCUUGAGGUAGGCGGAAUAUGUCAUGUAGCGGUGAAAUGCUUAGAUAUGACAUAGAACACCAAUUGCGAAGGCAGCUCGUUACACGAAUAUUGACUCUGAGGCACGAAAGCGUGGGGAUCAAACAGG